CGAGAAGGUUCCUUCGGGAACUGGAGAGUGGCGCACGGGUGAGUAACGCGUGGGGACCUACCUCUUAGUGGGGGAUAACGGUUGGAAACGACCGCUAAUACCGCAUACGCCCUUCGGGGGAAAGAUUUAUCGCUAAGAGAUGGACCCGCGUUGGAUUAGAUAGUUGGUGAGGUAAUGGCUCACCAAGUCAGCGAUCCAUAGCUGGUUUGAGAGGAUGAUCAGCCACACUGGGACUGAGACACGGCCCCAGACUCCUACGGGAGGCAGCAGUGGGGAAUAUUGGACAAUGGGGGCAACCCUGAUCCAGCCAUGCCGCGUGAGUGAAGAAGGCCUUCGGGUUGUAAAGCUCUUUCAGAUGCGAAGAUGAUGACGGUAACAUCAGAAGAAGCCCCGGCUAAUUUCGUGCCAGCAGCCGCGGUAAUACGAAAGGGGCAAGCGUUGUUCGGAUUUACUGGGCGUAAAGGGCACGCAGGCGGUCUUGCCAGUCAGGGGUGAAAGCCCGGGGCUCAACCCCGGAACUGCCUCUGAUACUGCAAGACUAGAGACUAGGAGAGGGUGGUGGAAUUCCCAGUGUAGAGGUGAAAUUCGUAGAUAUUGGGAGGAACACCAGAGGCGAAGGCGGCCACCUGGACUAGAUCUGACGCUCAGGUGCGAAAGCGUGGGGAGCAAACAGGAUUAGAUACCCUGGUAGUCCACGCCGUAAACGAUGAGUGCUAGUUGUCGGGACUUCGGUUUCGGUGACGCAGCUAACGCAUUAAGCACUCCGCCUGGGGAGUACGGUCGCAAGAUUAAAACUCAAAGGAAUUGA
This 808-nucleotide ribosomal RNA is filed under the name marine metagenome. RNAcentral's name for it is "bacterial SSU rRNA". It matches the Rfam family "Bacterial small subunit ribosomal RNA", at positions 67 to 913 of the family's 1533-position model. The record is from RNAcentral.